UAGGGAAUCUUCCACAAUGGACGCAAGUCUGAUGGAGCAACGCCGCGUGAGUGAAGAAGGUUUUCGGACCGUAAAGCUCUGUUGUUGGUGAAGAAGGAUAGAGGUAGUAACUGGCCUUUAUUUGACGGUAAUCAACCAGAAAGUCACGGCUAACUACGUGCCAGCAGCCGCGGUAAUCGUAGGUGGCAAGCGUUGUCCGGAUUUAUUGGGCGUAAAAGCGAGCGCAGGCGGAAGAAUAAGUCUGAUGUGAAAGCCCUCGGCUUAACCGAGGAAUUGCAUCGGAAACUGUUUUUCUUGAGUGCAGAAGAGGAGAGUAGAACUCCAUGUGUAGCGGUGGAAUGCGUAGAUAUAUGGAAGAAUACCAGUGGCGAAGGCGGCUCUCUGGUCUGCAAACUGACGCUGAGGCUCGAAAAGCAUGGGUAGCGAACAGGAUUAGAUACCCUGGUAGUCCAUGCCGUAAACGAUGAGCGCUAAGUGUUGGGAGGCUUCCGCCUCUCAGUGCUGCAGCUAACGCAUUAGGCACUCCGCCUGGGGGAGUACGACCGCAAGGU
Molecule: ribosomal RNA, 551 nt
Filed under: uncultured bacterium
Lineage: Bacteria
Description: partial 16S ribosomal RNA
Rfam family: Bacterial small subunit ribosomal RNA
Source: RNAcentral